This 277-nucleotide long non-coding RNA is filed under the name Ictidomys tridecemlineatus (thirteen-lined ground squirrel). RNAcentral's name for it is "lncRNA (ENSSTOG00000033155.1)". Lineage: Eukaryota; Metazoa; Chordata; Mammalia; Rodentia; Sciuridae. The record is from RNAcentral.
CUCCUUAGCUUUGACAUUCAUUAUUGCUCUUGUUAUUGUUCCUGCAGAUUGGCUUUUCUAACUGUGUAUGGCUACAAGAAGCACCCCACAGCUGGGACUGGCUGGUGGCCCAGGACAUCUGGAUAUGGCUGGAAGCCUUGCUGGGAUGGAGAUGCAGACCUGAUGCUUGCUUUGGAGGGGAGAGGGACAAGGUAGUCACGUCUUCCAAAGGCUCAGAUUCCUCACUGUUGAAUGGGGACAGCAAGGAUCGACUUGGUGAGGAUUCUACAAACGAACA